UAAGUAAAGUAAACGGUCGCGGUAUAAUAACCGAGGAAAGUCCAGACUCCAAGGGCAGGGUGCCUGUUUAAACACAGGGUGAAGUGAUUCACGGUAAGGGUCAUAGAAACGAAAACCGCCUUAACAAGGCAAGGGUGGAAAGGCGAGGUAAGAGCUCACCGGUGUCAGGGUAACCUGACAGCCUGGCAACCCCCAUCCGGAGCAAGACCAGACAGACAGGGUAAGACGGCCCGUCAGAAAAUUUAUUUUCCUCUGUCAGGUAGGUCGCUUAGAUAGAUGACCGUUAUAAACAGAAUCUGGCUUAUUCUUUACUUACAAA
Molecule: RNase P RNA, 319 nt
Filed under: Tepiditoga sp.
Lineage: Bacteria; Thermotogati; Thermotogota; Thermotogae; Petrotogales; Petrotogaceae
Also listed under: 1 other name
Description: RNase P RNA component class A
Rfam family: Bacterial RNase P class A
About the family: Ribonuclease P (RNase P) is a ubiquitous endoribonuclease, found in archaea, bacteria and eukarya as well as chloroplasts and mitochondria. Its best characterised activity is the generation of mature 5'-ends of tRNAs by cleaving the 5'-leader elements of precursor-tRNAs.
Source: RNAcentral